GAUUAGUUAAUUGCUUUCACCUGGUUCUCUCUCCACAAACCUGCAGCCCAUCUGCCUCCCAUCAUGCCCCAGUGUAUAUAAGCCCUGUCUCGUCUCAGUGUCUUGUCGGUCCAUUGUUUGUGUUAGCGUUGUUUUUGUGCUCUAUGUGAGCUUUGGGUGUCCUGGGUUUUAGGACUUUUGGUUUUUGGCUUCCUGCCCUUUUUGGAUUUUUGUUCAUCAUCCUAAAUAAAGGAUUUACUUUUAAAAUGCUCCUGCCUCGUGUCAUCUGGGGUAUUCUGCAUCUUGGGCCCUAACCUCCUCCUGCUCUCAACGUGACAGCUGCUUGUUUUGAUGUAUAAUUUGUGGGUGUGCAUGCUGCCAUUUGAGCCACAUUAACGUCCGCGGAUGUCAUGCUUGCCUCUUACGCAACAGCUUUUUACUCUGAGCAGCCAUAGCUUUAUGCAAUUUGGCUUUCAGUUCCUCAAUUUCUGUCUUCUGUUCCGUGAUCGUUUUCAUAAAAUUCUGGCUUUCUAACUCCAGGUUGAAACGACCAACAGUAUAUUUAUUCUUGUCUUUUUCAUUCAUACCAUUUAGCAGCGUUUUCACGUGCAUUGCUACUGAUGUCAAGCCAUUUUUAGAGAAUUCUUCAGCUAGCUGGUCAAGUUUUCCCUGAACUUCCAUUUUCUCUCUGGGUAACAGUUUGAUUUCAGAUUCAAGUUCCUGAGUUUUCUUUGUUAAAUCGCUAAUUUCGUCUUUUGCGUUCUGUAGUUCUGUCGCUGUUAUUUCAAGCUCCUUGGUAAUUUGCUCAUUCUCCAUUUCUUUAGUUGCUAAGAUGCUUGACUGUUGGGCAUCUUUAUUCCGAGCUGACGACAGUUGCUCCUCUGUGUUUUCUAACUGCAUCUUAACUUCCUUCAGCUGGCAAGACAGGGACGAUGUCGCCUUGACUAAAGACUCUUUCUCUGUUGAAAGCAGUGCGUUGGCAUCUAAAUGAGCCCAACAAUGGCAUCCGCUACAAGAUGUUCAGUGGGAGGAUCCUCCACCAGAGGGUAAUUGUGAGGCAAGAGGAGCUGAGAGGGAACCAGCUAAACUACAGGUAGCCCUAACCCAGGUCCAAAUGAGGACUUAACAAGCUCAAACAAGAGAUGGCCAAGCUGAGUGAGAUUACGUCCUUUUACAUAACUGUCAUAAAUGACAUAUAAGCUUGUAAAGAGUGAACAGGAAUGUUUUUACUGUUCCUUUUAUAUUGUUUUUAGGAGGACAUUUAGCUAAAGUGGCUGCAGUACUUCCUCUGAACUGCACGGCGCUAAAGAGUCACACUUUUUAUGAUGAUUUUAAUGGAUUUCACACACGUGGCUUUAAAGUCUCUGGUGUGACCCGACUGGGAUUUGACCAGAGCCGGAUUAACGCAAAGGCAAAGUAGGCACGUGCCUAGGGCCUGAUUGGCUGGAUGGGGCCCAGACAGAGGGACAAAAUAAAAAAUUAAUUAAUUUAAAAUUAAAUGUACAAAUCUCCUAUGAUAUAAUUUGUGGAUAGGACUCCUAUCUACAGUUUAUUUCAAUAUUUAUUAAUUAACUAAAAAUAGUGAUA
This 1566-nucleotide long non-coding RNA is filed under the name Nothobranchius furzeri (turquoise killifish). RNAcentral describes it as "lncRNA (ENSNFUG00015005484.1)". The record is from RNAcentral. Lineage: Eukaryota; Metazoa; Chordata; Actinopteri; Cyprinodontiformes; Nothobranchiidae.